GGAGAUGUAGCUCAGCGAUAGAACAUUUGCCUGGCAUACAAGAGACCCUGGGUUCAGGCCACAGCAUCACCC
Molecule: transfer RNA, 72 nt
Filed under: Cavia porcellus (domestic guinea pig)
Lineage: Eukaryota; Metazoa; Chordata; Mammalia; Rodentia; Caviidae
Rfam family: tRNA
About the family: Transfer RNA (tRNA) molecules are approximately 80 nucleotides in length. Their secondary structure includes four short double-helical elements and three loops (D, anti-codon, and T loops).
Source: Rfam by way of RNAcentral